UACGUAGGGUGCGAGCGUUGCCCGGAUUUAUUGGGCGUAAAGGGCGCGUAGGCGGCCAUGCACGUCCGUUGUGAAAUCGCCCGGCUCAACUGGGCGGGGUCAGCGGAUACGGUGUGGCUCGAGCAAGCUAGGGGGCAAUGGAAUUCCCGGUGUAGUGGUGGAAUGCGUAGAUAUCGGGCGGAACACCAGCGGCGAAGGCGGCAUCCUGGUCCUGUUCUGACGCUGAGGCGCGAGAGCGUGGGGAGCGAACUGG
Molecule: ribosomal RNA, 253 nt
Filed under: uncultured bacterium
Lineage: Bacteria
Description: partial 16S ribosomal RNA
Rfam family: Bacterial small subunit ribosomal RNA
Source: RNAcentral